This 459-nucleotide ribosomal RNA is filed under the name Bothriechis schlegelii. Its description in RNAcentral is "partial 16S ribosomal RNA". It matches the Rfam family "Bacterial large subunit ribosomal RNA", at positions 1914 to 2597 of the family's 2925-position model. The record is from RNAcentral. Lineage: Eukaryota; Metazoa; Chordata; Lepidosauria; Squamata; Viperidae.
GAAAAUUAAACGGCCGCGGUAACCUAACCGUGCAAAGGUAGCAUAAUCAUUUGUCUAUUAAUUGUAGACCUGUAUGAAAGGCAAAAUGAGAGCCCAACUGUCUCCUAUAACAAAUCAAUUAAACUGAUCUCCUAGUACAAAAGCUAGAAUACUAACAUAAGACCAGAAGACCCUGUGAAGCUUUAACUAACCUAUUAAACCCAAUAAUAGCUACUUUCGGUUGGGGCGACCUUGGAACAAAAAAGAACUUCCAACAUAUGACUAAUCAUAAAAUAAGGAAAACAAACCACACCAGACCCAGUAUGACUGACAAUUGAAAUAAGUUACUCCAGGGAUAACAGCGCCAUCUUCUUUAAGAGCCCAUAUCAAAAAGAAGGUUUACGACCUCGAUGUUGGAUCAGGACAUCCCAGUAAUGCAGCCGUUACUAAAGGUUCGUUUGUUCAACGAUUAACAGUCCU